AAAAAGGGAGGAGGAGACCAACCGUUUCUUAUCAGAUCCUACCCCUCCCGGAUCGUCUUCUUUAUAGACCCCCCCAGAUCCUCGUCUUAAUCGUCAUACCCCCGCCCCAAACGAUCCAUCCCUUCUUCUUUAACCUACAUAGGCCCUAAACCAAGUCUAGCAACCCGUCACUGCCCGGCAGCCCCUCGAACAUCAUCAGCAACCUAACC
Molecule: long non-coding RNA, 209 nt
Filed under: Nicotiana benthamiana
Lineage: Eukaryota; Viridiplantae; Streptophyta; Magnoliopsida; Solanales; Solanaceae
Description: long non-coding RNA (NBEN_LNC021251)
Source: RNAcentral